UACGUAGGGUGCGAGCGUUAAUCGGAAUUACUGGGCGUAAAGCGUGCGCAGGCGGUUUUGCAAGACAGAUGUGAAAUCCCCGGGCUUAACCUGGGAACUGCAUUUGUGACUGCAAGACUAGAGUGCGGCAGAGGGGGGUAGAAUUCCACGUGUAGCAGUGAAAUGCGUAGAUAUGUGGAGGAAUACCGAUGGCGAAGGCGGCGAGCUGGUCCAUUACUGACGCUGAGGCGCGAAAGCGUGGGGAGCAAACAGG
This 253-nucleotide ribosomal RNA is filed under the name uncultured bacterium. RNAcentral's name for it is "partial 16S ribosomal RNA". It matches the Rfam family "Bacterial small subunit ribosomal RNA", at positions 524 to 776 of the family's 1533-position model. The record is from RNAcentral.